AGGGUAAAACCUUUUAGUAACGUAGCUAACGCGUGAAGUUGACCGCCUGGGGAGUACGGCCGCAAGGCUAAAACUCAAAGGAAUUGACGGGGACCCGCACAAGCGGUGGAUGAUGUGGAUUAAUUCGAUGCAACGCGAAAAACCUUACCUACCCUUGACAUGUCAGAGAUCCCUGAGAGAUUGGGGAGUGCCGCAAGGAAUCUGAACACAGGUGCUGCAUGGCUGUCGUCAGCUCGUGUCGUGAGAUGUUGGGUUAAGUCCCGCAACGAGCGCAACCCUUGUCGUUAAUUGCCAUCAUUUGGUUGGGCACUUUAACGAGACUGCCGGUGACAAACCGGAGGAAGGUGGGGAUGACGUCAAGUCCUCAUGGCCCUUAUGGGUAGGGCUUCACACGUCAUACAAUGGUCGGUACAGAGGGUUGCGAAGCCGCGAGGUGGAGCCAAUCCCAGAAAGCCGAUCGUAGUCCGGAUUGGAGGCUGCAACUCGCCUCCAUGAAGUCGGAAUCGCUAGUAAUCGCGGAUCAGCAUGUCGCGGUGAAUACGUUCCCGGGUCUUGUACACACCGCCCGUCACACCAUGGGAGUGGGUUCUGCCAGAAGUAGGUAGCUUAACCGCAAGGAGGGCGCUUACCACGGCAGGGUUCAUGACUGGGGUGAAGUCG
Molecule: ribosomal RNA, 660 nt
Filed under: uncultured beta proteobacterium
Lineage: Bacteria; Pseudomonadati; Pseudomonadota; Betaproteobacteria
Description: bacterial SSU rRNA
Rfam family: Bacterial small subunit ribosomal RNA
Source: RNAcentral